This 253-nucleotide ribosomal RNA is filed under the name uncultured bacterium. Its description in RNAcentral is "partial 16S ribosomal RNA". It matches the Rfam family "Bacterial small subunit ribosomal RNA", at positions 524 to 776 of the family's 1533-position model. The record is from RNAcentral.
GACAGAGGGUGCAAACGUUGCUCGGAAUCACUGGGCGUAAAGGGCGUGUAGGCGGGAAUGUAAGUCGGGCGUGAAAUCCCUAGGCUCAACCUAGGAACUGCACUCGAAACUGCGUUUCUUGAGUAUCGGAGAGGAAAGCGGAAUACCUGGUGUAGAUGUGAAAUUCGUAGAUAUCAGGUGGAACACCAGUGGCGAAGGCGGCUUUCUGGACGAUAACUGACGCUGAGACGCGGAAGCGUGGGGAGCAAACAGG